AUGAAUUAUAAACAAUUGUCACAAUUAUGAAGCUUGCUAAAGUGUUUUUGUAUUUUUGUUUAAUGGAGAGAUAUGAUUUUUAACUAAUUGAAUUGAUGCAAAUGAUUAACAACUACUAAUUAACGAUUGCAAGAAAAAUGAUUACUAGAACGAUAAUAAUAAAAAGGAAUCACACCCGGUUUCGGUAAUUAUUAACCUAGGAUUUCUACAAGUUUUAGUUUCAACUCAAAUGCAUUCGAUUAACGGAUUUAGUGUGCUACUAACUAUCAACGCUCCGAAGAACGGACAAAAAGACACUUUGUAAUCAACACAAGUAAAUCCUAACAAUGAUAAUGCACAAUUACAUAUCACCGUUUCGUGAAGUCAUAACUUUUAACAUCGCUCGACAAUUCACGAAUUCGCAACAAAUGUAACACUAUUAUCAAGAGUUUCAAAAAUCAAAUACAAAUUGUCACUAAGUUAAAACAAGCACAAUUCGAAACCCUAGAAUUAACAACUACCUACACCGGGGUGAAACCGAGAUGAUUAGCCGCU
RNAcentral lists this long non-coding RNA (534 nucleotides) under Helianthus annuus (common sunflower). Lineage: Eukaryota; Viridiplantae; Streptophyta; Magnoliopsida; Asterales; Asteraceae. The record is from RNAcentral.